RNAcentral lists this ribosomal RNA (871 nucleotides) under Candidatus Uzinura diaspidicola. RNAcentral describes it as "bacterial SSU rRNA". It matches the Rfam family "Bacterial small subunit ribosomal RNA", at positions 292 to 1162 of the family's 1533-position model. The record is from RNAcentral. Lineage: Bacteria; Pseudomonadati; Bacteroidota; Flavobacteriia; Flavobacteriales.
CUGAGAGGGUUACCCUCCACACUGGAACUGAGACAAGGACCAGACUUCUACGGAAGGCAGCAGUGAGGAAUAUUGGUCAAUGGAGGAAACUCUGAACCAGCUAUGCCGCGUGUACGGAUGACAGUCUUUUAGAUUGUAAACUACUUUUACAUAGAAAUAAAAGUUACUACGUGAUAGUAAUCUGAAGGUACUAUGCGAAUAAGUGUCGGCUAAUUUCGUGCCAGCAGCCGCGGUAAUACGAAAGACACAAGCGUUAUCCGGAUUUAUUGGGUUUAAAGGGUGUGUAGGCUGUUUAUUAAGUCAGUAGUGAAAGCUUACAGCUUAACUGUAAAAUUGCUAUUGAUACUGAUAAUCUUGAGUAAGAUUGGAGCAUCUGGAAUGUAUGGUGUAGCGGUGAAAUGCAUAGAUAUCAUACAGAACACCAAUAGCGAAGGCAGGAUGCUAAAUCUUUACUGACGCUGAGGCACGAAAGCGUGGGUAGCAAACAGGAUUAGAUACCCUGGUAGUCCACGCCCUAAACUAUGAUCACUAGCUAUUGGAAAAAUUAUAUUCAGUGGCUAAGCUAAAGCGAUAAGUGAUCCACCUGGGAAGUACGAUCGCAAGAUUGAAACUCAAAGGAAUUGACGGGGUUCCGCACAAGCGGUGGAGCAUGUGGUUUAAUUCGAUGAUACGCGAGGAACCUUACCAAGGUUUAAAUGUAUUACGAAUAAGCUGGAAACAACUUAGUCUAUAAGACGUAAUACAAGGUGCUGCAUGGUUGUCUUCAGUUCGUGCUGUGAAGUGUUUGGUUAAGUCCUAUAACGAGCGCAACCCCUAUUGUUAGUUGCCAUCGGGUAAAGCCGGGGACUCUAACAAAACUGCCGGUGUAAAU